Molecule: transfer RNA, 72 nt
Filed under: Rhipicephalus sanguineus (brown dog tick)
Lineage: Eukaryota; Metazoa; Arthropoda; Arachnida; Ixodida; Ixodidae
Description: transfer RNA threonine (anticodon UGU)
Rfam family: tRNA
About the family: Transfer RNA (tRNA) molecules are approximately 80 nucleotides in length.
Source: Rfam by way of RNAcentral
GCCGCUAUAGCUCAGAGGCAGAGCGCUGGUCUUGUAAACCAGCGGUCGUGAGUUCGAUCCUCACUGGCGGCU